Molecule: ribosomal RNA, 3104 nt
Filed under: Microbacterium oleivorans NBRC 103075
Lineage: Bacteria; Bacillati; Actinomycetota; Actinomycetes; Micrococcales; Microbacteriaceae
Description: bacterial LSU rRNA
Rfam family: Bacterial large subunit ribosomal RNA
Source: RNAcentral
UCAAAUCUUUAAGAGCAAACGGUGGAUGCCUUGGCAUCUGGAGCCGAAGAAGGACGUAGCAAUCUGCGAUAAGCCUCGGGGAACUGAUAAGCAAGUUUUGAUCCGAGGGUGUCCGAAUGGGGAAACCCCGCUGGGCGGCGUGCCGACCUAGUGACUCCCGCCUGAAUAUAUAGGGCGGGUAGAGGGAACGUGGGGAAGUGAAACAUCUCAGUACCCACAGGAAGAGAAAGCAACCGCGAUUCCGUUAGUAGUGGCGAGCGAAACCGGAACAGGCUAAACCGAGUACGUGUGAUAUCCGGCAGGAGUUGCGUAUUCGGGGUUGUGGGACUUUUCAGACAGUUCUGCCGAUCUGUCGGCGUUACAAGAAGGUAUAGACGAACCGCAUUGAAAGGCGGGUCAUAGAGGGUGCCAACCCCGUAGUCGAAAUGCCUCUCUUGACGCGAAGAGUAUCCCAAGUAGCACGGGGCCCGAGAAAUCCCGUGUGAAUCUGUCAGGACCACCUGAUAAGCCUAAAUACUCCCAGAUGACCGAUAGCGGACAAGUACCGUGAGGGAAAGGUGAAAAGUACCCCGGGAGGGGAGUGAAAUAGUACCUGAAACCGUUUGCUUACAAACCGUUGGAGCCUCCUUAGUAGGGGUGACAGCGUGCCUUUUGAAGAAUGAGCCUGCGAGUUAGCGAUAUGUGGCGAGGUUAACCCGUGUGGGGUAGCCGUAGCGAAAGCGAGUCUGAAUAGGGCGAUUCAGUCGCAUGUCCUAGACCCGAAGCGAAGUGAUCUAUCCAUGGCCAGGUUGAAGCGACGGUAAGACGUCGUGGAGGACCGAACCCACUUAGGUUGAAAACUGAGGGGAUGAGCUGUGGAUAGGGGUGAAAGGCCAAUCAAACUUCGUGAUAGCUGGUUCUCUCCGAAAUGCAUUUAGGUGCAGCGUUGCGUGUUUCUUGCCGGAGGUAGAGCUACUGGAUGGCCGAUGGGCCCUACAAGGUUACUGACGUCAGCCAAACUCCGAAUGCCGGUAAGUGAGAGCGCAGCAGUGAGACUGUGGGGGAUAAGCUUCAUAGUCGAGAGGGAAACAACCCAGACCACCAUCUAAGGUCCCAAAGCGCGUGCUAAGUGGGAAAGGAUGUGGAGUUGCUUUGACAACCAGGAGGUUGGCUUAGAAGCAGCCACCCUUGAAAGAGUGCGUAAUAGCUCACUGGUCAAGUGAUUCCGCGCCGACAAUGUAACGGGGCUCAAGCACGCCACCGAAGCUGUGGCAUUGACAUUAUUGGUAGGCCUUCGUGGUCCAGCCGUGUUGAUGGGUAGGAGAGCGUCGUGUGGCCAGCGAAGCGGCGGUGUGAACCAGCCGUGGAGGCUACACGAGUGAGAAUGCAGGCAUGAGUAGCGAAAGACGUGUGAGAAACACGUCCUCCGAAAGACCAAGGGUUCCAGGGUCAAGCUAAUCUUCCCUGGGUAAGUCGGGACCUAAGGCGAGGCCGACAGGCGUAGUCGAUGGACAACGGGUUGAUAUUCCCGUACCGGCGAAGAACCGCCCAAGCUAAUCCAGUGGUGCUAAGAGUCCUAACCCGGCUGAGUGGAUCCCUUCGGGGUGAAGCCGGCCGGUCUAACGCUCGACCCCGUUCUGGUGCGGCUAGCGUAUUAACAGGUGUGACGCAGGAAGGUAGCCCAACCCGGGCGAUGGUUGUCCCGGGGCAAGUGCGUAGGCCGAGAGAUAGGCAAAUCCGUCUCUCACAUAGGCUGAGACACGAUGCGGAUAAAAAGUGGGUGAUCCUAUGCUGCCAAGAAAAGCAUCGACGCGAGGUUCAAGCCGCCCGUACCCCAAACCGACUCAGGUGGUCAGGUAGAGAAUACCAAGGAGAUCGAGAGAAUCGUGGUUAAGGAACUCGGCAAAAUGCCCCCGUAACUUCGGGAGAAGGGGGGCCUUCCGCUUAUUAGGAUUUACUCCGAAAGGGCGUGGAGGCCGCAGAGACUAGUGGGUAGCGACUGUUUACUAAAAACACAGGUCCGUGCCAAGUCGCAAGACGAUGUAUACGGACUGACGCCUGCCCGGUGCUGGAAGGUUAAGAGGACCGGUUAGCCGCAAGGCGAAGCUGAGAAUUUAAGCCCCAGUAAACGGCGGUGGUAACUAUAACCAUCCUAAGGUAGCGAAAUUCCUUGUCGGGUAAGUUCCGACCUGCACGAAUGGCGUAACGACUUCCCAACUGUCUCAACCGCGAACUCGGCGAAAUUGCAUUACGAGUAAAGAUGCUCGUUACGCGCAGCAGGACGGAAAGACCCCGUGACCUUUACUAUAGCUUUGUAUUGGUGUUCGGUGUGGCUUGUGUAGGAUAGGUGGGAGACUUUGAAGCGGUGACGCCAGUUACCGUGGAGUCAUUGUUGAAAUACCACUCUGGUCACUCUGGAUAUCUAACUUCGAACCGUAAUCCGGUUCAGGGACAGUGCAUGGUGGGUAGUUUAACUGGGGCGGUUGCCUCCCAAAAAGUAACGGAGGCGCCCAAAGGUUCCCUCAACCUGGUUGGCAAUCAGGUGGCGAGUGUAAGUGCACAAGGGAGCUUGACUGUGAGACUGACAGGUCGAGCAGGGACGAAAGUCGGGACUAGUGAUCCGGCAGUGGCUUGUGGAAGCGCUGUCGCUCAACGGAUAAAAGGUACCUCGGGGAUAACAGGCUGAUCUUGCCCAAGAGUCCAUAUCGACGGCAUGGUUUGGCACCUCGAUGUCGGCUCGUCGCAUCCUGGGGCUGGAGUAGGUCCCAAGGGUUGGGCUGUUCGCCCAUUAAAGCGGUACGCGAGCUGGGUUUAGAACGUCGUGAGACAGUUCGGUCCCUAUCCGCUGCGCGCGUAGGAAAUUUGAGAGGAUCUGACCCUAGUACGAGAGGACCGGGUUGGACGAACCUCUGGUGUGCCAGUUGUUCUGCCAAGAGCACCGCUGGUUAGCUACGUUCGGGAUGGAUAACCGCUGAAAGCAUCUAAGCGGGAAGCCGGCCUCAAGAUGAGAUUUCCAUACCUUCGGGUGAGAGGCUCCCAGCCAGACUACUGGGUUGAUAGGCCGGAUGUGGAAGCGUGGUAACACGUGAAGCUGACCGGUACUAAUAAGCCGAUGAUUUGAUAAC